GGCAGUUGCAAAUUCAUUCAACACCCCAAGGCCGUGUAACUGUAAAGGACAAGACAUGAUGAAUACACCCUGCCUUUGUCAGCAGCCUUCCAGACGCAAACGCAAGCGUGGAGGACGAAUGAAAAAGCUGUGCCAGAGGAAAAAGAGGAACCUGAAGAAGUGCAGGGGUUUUUUCCAACCUCAGAAAGGCAGUAAUACCAGCAAGUUUCGUCCCAGUGUUCCAAUAUGAACAACACUAAGAGCAAACCUUUAUAAAUACAAAAAUACUUACUGUUUAUGUAUGUGGAUGAUGCUAUGAUCAUUGACCUAUACUAUACAACUCCUAUAUUUGUUUGUAUCCAAGCUA
Molecule: non-coding RNA, 346 nt
Organism: Labrus bergylta (ballan wrasse)
Lineage: Eukaryota; Metazoa; Chordata; Actinopteri; Labriformes; Labridae
Source: RefSeq, a predicted model, not a curated record